This 3487-nucleotide long non-coding RNA is filed under the name Homo sapiens (human). RNAcentral describes it as "HSALNT0315384". The record is from RNAcentral. Lineage: Eukaryota; Metazoa; Chordata; Mammalia; Primates; Hominidae.
CCCGUUCUUUGGUUUUAUUGUUCUGUGGAAAAGAACAUUUUCUCUGAUACUUUAAGUUUGAAGAAUCAGUGCAUAUUUUAAUGCCACAUAUGCAAAAAUAUCUUCCAAAUUUACUUAGAACUUUAGGUAGGAGUAUGACUUUUUGGGGGAGAAGGAUAGAAGAGAAUUCAUUUAAAACAACUAGAAAAUGCAGUCAAUAAUCAAGAAUAUAUGUUCUUCAAAAAAAAAUUCACUAGAACCUGGGAAUUUUCAUUAUGGAGUCUCACCCAGUCGCCCAGGCAGGAGUGUGGUGGUAUGAUCUCGGCUCACUGCAACCUCCCCCUCCCAAGUUCAAGCAAUUCUCCUGCCUCAGCCUCCUGAGUAGCAGGGAUUACAGGCACCCACCACCACGCCCAGCUAAUUUUUGUAUUUUUAGUAGAGACAGGGUUUCACUGUGUUGGCCAGGCUGGUCUCGAACUCCUUACCUCGUGAUCCUCCUGCUUCAGCCUCCCAAAGUGCCGGUGUGUCCGGAAUUGGUGGGUUCUUGGUCUCACUGACUUCAAAAAUGAAGCCACGGACCCUCGCAGUGAGUGUUACAGCUCUUAAGUGGCGCGUCUGGAGUUUGUUCCUUCUGAUGCUCGGAUGUGUUGGGAGUUUCUUCCUUCUGGUGGGUUCAUGGUCUCGCUGGCUCAGGAGUGAAGCUGCAGACCUUGGCGGGGAGUGUUACAGCUCUUAAAGCAGGGCCUCUGGAGUUGUUCGUUCCUCCCAGUGGGCUCGUGGUCCCGCUGGCUUCAGGAGUGAAGCUGCAGACCUUGGCGGCAAGUGUUACAGCUCAUAAAAGCAGUGGGGACCUAAAAAGUGAGUAGUAGCAAGAUUUAUUGCAAAGAGUUAAAGAAAAAGCUCCCACAGGGUGCAAGGGGACCCUAGCGGGUUGCCACUGCUGGCUCGGGCAGCCUGCUUUUAUUCUCUUAUCUGGCCCCACCCACCUCCUGCUGAUUGGUCCAUUUUACAGCAAGCUGAGUGGUCUGUUUUGACAGGGCGCUGAUUGGUGCGUUUACAAUCCCUGAGCUAGACACAAAGGUUCUCCACAUCCCCACUAGAUUAACUAGAUACAGAGUGUGGACACAAAGUGUUCUCCAAGGCCCCACCAGAGUAGCUAGAUACAGAGUGUCAAUUGGUGCAUUCACAAACCCUGAGCUAGACACAGGCUGCUGAUUGGUGUGUUUACAAACCUUGAGCUAGAUACAGAGUGCCGAUUGGUGUAUUUACAAUCCCUGAGCCAGACAUAAAGGUUCUCCAAGGCCCCAAAGUAGCUAGAUACAGAGUGUCAACUGGUGCAUUCACAAACCUUGAGCUAGACACAGGGUGCUGACUGGUGUAUUUACAAUCCCUGAGCUAGACAUAAAGGUUCUCCACGUCCCCACCAGACUCAGGAGCCCAGCUGGCUUCACCCAGUGGAUCCCUUACCGGGGCUGCAGGUGGAGCUGCCUGCCAGUCCAGGUGCCUUGCGCCCGCACUCCUCAGCCCUUGGGUGGUCGAUGGGACUGGGCGCCGUGGAGCAGGGGGUGGCGCUCCUCGGGGAGGCUCGGGCCGCCCAGGAGCCCCAUGGAGGGGGUGGGAGGCUCAGGCAUGGCGGGCUGCAAGUCCCGAGUCCUGCCCCGCGGGAAGGCAGCUAAGGCCCAGUGAGAAAUUGAGCGCAGCGCCAGGUGGGCUGGCACUGCUGGGUGACCCAGUACACCCUCCGCAGCCGCUGGCCCGGGUGCUAAGCCCCUCAUUGCCCGUGGCCUGCAGGGCAGGCCGGCUGCUCAGAGUGCGCGGCCCGCCAAGGCCACGCCCACCCGGAACUCCAGCUGGCCCGCAAGCGCCGCGCGCAGCCCCGGUUCCGGCUGGCGCCUCUCCCGCCACACCUCCCUGCAAGCUGAGGGAGCCGGCUCUGACCUUGGCCAGCCUAGAAAGGGGCUCCCACAGUGCAGCGGUGGGCUGAAGGGCUCCUCAAGUGCCGCCAAAGUGGGAGCCCAAGCAGAGGAGGCGCCGAGAGCGAGUGAGGGCUGUGAGAACUGCCAGCACGCUGUCACCUCUCACUGGGAUUACAAGCGUGAGCCACCGCGGCCAGUCAGUGCUAUCUUUUAAAGAUUUUUUUAUUUUUGUUUUUGUUUUUUUUUUCAGUCAAUAAACUUGGACUUUGCACCUUUAACUAACUUGAUACAGCUCCAGACAAAGCUAAGAGUCUAGAUAAGCAGUCAGUCCAGUUGUGGAUUGUGUCAGAAAAAUGACUUUGGCAACUCAUGUAGAGACUAUGCUCAGGUUCCCGUGUCCAUAAAAAUUGGUAUAAUAACACUCAUUCCCCUUUUAUUUUGCAGACAUCAUAAAGAUGAAUAAGAUAAUUAAAGGAACCCAAAUAUAUGGGCAUAAACAUAUAAACCUGAGGUAGGACUAUUAUUAUAAUGAUGUUAAACAAUGAGCAUAUUCAAAAGCUAAGUAAUUAAUACAAACUGUCCAAGACCAUUUUUAAAUAUUGCAUGCAUAUGGAAAUUUGGAAAGCAAGAAGGAAUCACAAGCUGGGCCACUGGGAAAGUUCGAGAGCCCUAAUCCUGCCAGAGGCACUGCAGGGUGUAGUCACUUUCAGCACUCCUGUCUGACAACUCCCAGGAAUUAGUAAAUAAGCUGAAAAUGUGAAGUCAUGCAAAGAUUUGUUUGAAAAGCAAAACGUUUCAAUAAAAGGUCUUCCUGGAUUAAGAAUCUAAGUAUGAUUUUCAUGAACCACCACCACUAAAGAUCAGAUAAUAUUAUUCAUGCUGCAAUUUGAAAGAGAAGCAAGAGGAAGAUCAGACCGACUCUGCCACUGCAUAAAAUCAUCCCCCUGGGAAUGAACAAAGCAUUCCGAGAAUGAGAAAUGGAAUAUUGGUGACUUCCUGGCUAACAGUUCCAUCUAGAGUCAACUGCGGUCAUGAUUUUCCAAUAACAGCCUGUUACUAAACCAAGAGAGGGAACCAACAAUGCCUGAGAAGAUUUGCAAGAACUUUGCCCAGCUGAGGCCCUUAAUGGAUGCAAUGAGGACAACUAACUCAAUCAAAUUCUCUUUUUGAAAGAAGAAUAAACUCUAAGUAAAGGGAAAGCUAUGGCAAUCAUGAGAAGACCUUGGGUUUUGACAGUAGAGACCUAGGACAGAAGUGGCCUGGACUGCUGAGUUGGAAUGCUGCCCAAACUCAAAAGAAAACCAAGCUGUGCCCUGACCACCUUGGACACAUGUCACUGGGACCUCCUGAAGCUGUGUCACAGGAUGGUAGAAAGCAGUCUUCAGCCUGAGACCCAUCCGUAGGUAAGUAGCUGAAUUGGGGUUUUAUCUUGGCUGAAGUUUAACAACCAGGUGGUCUUAAUUUCUCCUUACCAUUAUGGCACUCAGUGAUCAUAUUGUGGGUUUCUGUUGUUGUUGUUGUUUGUUCCAGCCUUUUUCUCAUCAGAUUUGACCAACUCUAACUGACUUGGUCAGAUCUAAGUGAGAAUUCCA